GGAGGAAAGCAGGGGAUCGAAAGACCUCGUGCUUUUAGAGCGGCCGAUGCCUGAUUAGUUAGUUGGUAAGGUAAAGGCUUACCAAGGCAACGACCAGUAGUUGGUCUGAGAGGACGACCAGCCACACUGGGACUGAGACACGGCCCAGACUCCUACGGGAGGCAGCAGUGGGGAAUUUUGGACAAUGGGCGAAAGCCUGAUCCAGCCAUGCCGCGUGAGUGAAGAAGGCCUUCGGGUUGUAAGCUCUUUCGGUCGGGAAGAAAUAGUUGUGGCUAAUAUCUGCAACGAAUGACGGUACCGACAUAAGAAGCACCGGCUAACUACGUGCCAGCAGCCGCGGUAAUACGUAGGGUGCAAGCGUUAAUCGGAAUUAUUGGGCGUAAAGGGUGCGCAGGCGGUCGUAUAAGUCAGAAGUGAAAUCCCUGGGCUUAACCUGGGAAUUGCGUUUUUAAAAGGAAGCUAGAAGGGC
RNAcentral lists this ribosomal RNA (469 nucleotides) under uncultured beta proteobacterium. RNAcentral describes it as "bacterial SSU rRNA". It matches the Rfam family "Bacterial small subunit ribosomal RNA", at positions 198 to 650 of the family's 1533-position model. The record is from RNAcentral. Lineage: Bacteria; Pseudomonadati; Pseudomonadota; Betaproteobacteria.